CGCUGUCCUUAGGGGUGAUUGGCCGUCGCACGGUGCAAUCUGAGACGGGAUUACCCGAACCCUUUGAACCUGAUCCGGCUAGUACCGGCGUAGGAAUAGGAUUUGCCUCUGUG
This 113-nucleotide non-coding RNA is filed under the name Teredinibacter turnerae. Its description in RNAcentral is "TPP sequence". It matches the Rfam family "TPP riboswitch aptamer (THI element)". From Rfam's summary of the family: Vitamin B(1) in its active form thiamin pyrophosphate (TPP) is an essential coenzyme that is synthesised by coupling of pyrimidine and thiazole moieties in bacteria. The previously detected thiamin-regulatory element, thi box was extended, resulting in a new, highly conserved RNA secondary structure, the THI element, which is widely distributed in eubacteria and also occurs in some archaea. Lineage: Bacteria; Pseudomonadati; Pseudomonadota; Gammaproteobacteria; Cellvibrionales; Cellvibrionaceae. RNAcentral also lists the same sequence under 1 other name. The record is from RNAcentral.